Molecule: non-coding RNA, 1781 nt
Organism: Sus scrofa (pig)
Lineage: Eukaryota; Metazoa; Chordata; Mammalia; Artiodactyla; Suidae
Source: RefSeq, a predicted model, not a curated record
AUUGAUUGCCCCGCCCACUCCAUUCUUCUCUUCCUGCUACUAGGAUGAUUGCUCUAGCUCUUCUUCCUUUUCAAGUCCCGCCCUUCAGUUACCCGCUCUGGAUAGGGAUCGGUAACCCAAAAAGGGCCGGCAAAAGCGCCGACGUAUUUAGAGAAGCGGAAGUAGUCAAAUUUCACUAAGAACCUUAAAGUGAGGCUGGCUGUCUGCCUUUCCGGAUAACGACAACAGCUCCGACUGUCAAUGCCGGCCUUCCUCGUGUAAGGGAACCUGCGGGACCCUUGCUAAUUCAGUCCCCCCCGCCCCCGCCCCGUUCUGGGCCCUUCCCUAUCGUCGCCCUCUUCACCUUGGAUCAUGUUCAAGAACCAUGAACAUAUAGAAAUCCUUACAGUAAAUGAUCCUUUUAUCCUGCCACACCAGCAGGUUGAUAAAGGAGCCAUCAAAUUUGUGCUCAGUGGAGCAAAUAUCAUGUGUCCAGGCUUAACUUCUCCUGGAGCUAAACUUUACCCUGCUGCGGUAGAUACGAUUGUUGUAUUCUUCCUACAACUCUUGAAACAACUCUUCCUACAAUGCUGUAACUCUUGAAAAAUAUGUUCAUUGUGCUCUUGUUAUUACUGAAAGAUCCAUCAUCGAAGAGAACAUGAGAAGUACUUUUUUGGAGCCCUGUGUUUUCAGGCAAUCAUGGCAGAAGGAAAACAGCAUGCCCUGUGUGUUGGAGUCAUGAGGAUGUCUGCAGAAGAUAUUGAGAAAGUCAACAAAGGAAUUGGUAUUGAAAAUAUCCAUUAUUUAAAUGAUGGGCUGUAGCAUAUGAAGACAUAUAAAUGAGCCUCAGAAGGAAUGUACUUGGGCUAAAUAUGGAUAUUGUGCUGUAUCUGUGUUUGUGUCUGUGUGUGACAGCAUGAAGGCAAUACCUCUGUGGUUAUGCUUAAUAAAUUCGACAGAUGCUAAAACGCUGUUAGCUUCAAAAAUUAUAUUUUCUUAAACUCACAUUAAAUUUGGGUAAUAAACUUGGACAUUAAAAGGUAUCUGGUAAGAAACCAAACUCAGACAACUUAAUGUCCUUUCUCAGGCUAACGAUUUAAGAUGAACGGCAAGACUUGGUAAAUGAACUUGCUGUAUGGCUGACAUCCCCCCCGCCCUGUGAAUAUGACUACUUAAUGGGGCUUGAAGCUAGACUAGGAUUUUUAUCCCAGGGAACCUAGUAGUGCCCCCUCUCUUUUGUGUGUGUGUUUUUUUUUUGUUUGCUGUGGUUGUGUUUUUUGUUUUUUUGCUGUACCCAUGGCCUAUGGAGGUUCCGAGGCUAGGGAUUGAACCUGGAUCACAGUUGCUACCAGGUGCAGCAAUGCUGGAGCCUUAACUCAUUGUGCCACAAGGGAAUUUCUGCUGUGGUUGUUUUUAUUUUCAUUUGGAAAUAUUCUCUUCAUUAUGGAAAAUUCUGAACAUUUAGGAAAGUAUGGGGAGAAGAGGAUAAUGGACAUUCUCUGUAUCCAUCACCCAGCUUCAAUUCCCGGCCAAUAUUAUUUCAUCUAUAUCUCACUCAUUCCUUCCCACUCCACUCCCCAAUUAUGAAGCAAAUCUCAGAUAUAUUGAUUCAUCCAUAAUUUUUUUUUUCUUUUUUGGCCGCCCCCCGGCAUAUGGAGUUCUUGGGCUAGGGAUCAGAUCUGAGCAGCAGUUGCAACCUACUGCUGUGGUAUUGCCCACUGUGCUGGGUCAGGGAUUGAACCUGAAUCCUGAUGCUCCAGAGGUGCCUCGAUCCUGUUGCACCACAGUGGGAACUUCCAUAA